AGCAUCACCUUCAAGGAGGGCAAGUAUAAAACCAGAGAGGAGGUGAGCAAGGUGCUUUGAAAAUAAUGAUGGAGACUGAGAAGAAAGUUUUACGGGAAUGCCCAUGAGAAUGGAACUGCUGGUGGAAAGACAUUCACACACACGCAUAUACCGAGGAAAAGUGCAGAAGCUUGCAGCAUGUUACUCCGAGUGAUUUCCUGCUUUGAAAUACUGAUUGAAGACUGGAAGGAUUCAGUUUACACAGAUCAAAGAAAGGUCUAAAAGGGAGGACCCAUUUACACACCCACCAAUUUACCAUCCCAUUUCUGAAGACAGAGAGAAAAUGUGUCAUUGCUUAAACAAACUUUGUAUAAUAAAGGAACUCAUGUUGCUUUUUAUGCUUACUGUCUUUUAUAGCCUAUCAAAGAACACUGUAAUAGGCAACUUUUAGGGAAACGUAUAUAUUAAAUAAUAUGUCAAACA
Molecule: long non-coding RNA, 462 nt
Organism: Polypterus senegalus (gray bichir)
Lineage: Eukaryota; Metazoa; Chordata; Cladistia; Polypteriformes; Polypteridae
Exons: 2
Source: RefSeq, a predicted model, not a curated record